GUGGUGGCUCAGUGGUAGAGUGCUUGCCUAGCGUGUAUGAGGCACUGGGUUCUAUCCGUGGUACCACA
This 68-nucleotide transfer RNA is filed under the name Marmota monax (woodchuck). RNAcentral describes it as "tRNA.Ala". Lineage: Eukaryota; Metazoa; Chordata; Mammalia; Rodentia; Sciuridae. The record is from RNAcentral.